AGUGAACGCUGGCGGUAGGCCUAACACAUGCAAGCCGAACGGCAGCACAGUAAGAGCCUGCUCUUACGGGUGGCGAGUGGCGGACGGGUGAGGAAUACAUCGGAAUCUACUUUUUCGUGGGGGAUAACGUAGGGAAACUUACGCUAAUACCGCAUACGACCUACGGGUGAAAGCAGGGGAUCUUCGGACCUUGCGCGAUUGAAUGAGCCGAUGUCGGAUUAGCUAGUUGGCGGGGUAAAGGCCCACCAAGGCGACGAUCCGUAGCUGGUCUGAGAGGAUGAUCAGCCACACUGGAACUGAGACACGGUCCAGACUCCUACGGGAGGCAGCAGUGGGGAAUAUUGGACAAUGGGCGCAAGCCUGAUCCAGCCAUACCGCGUGGGUGAAGAAGGCCUUCGGGUUGUAAAGCCCUUUUGUUGGGAAAGAAAAGCAGCAGGUUAAUACCCCGCUGUUCUGACGGUACCCAAAGAAUAAGCACCGGCUAACUUCGUG
Molecule: ribosomal RNA, 492 nt
Filed under: uncultured bacterium
Lineage: Bacteria
Description: partial 16S ribosomal RNA
Rfam family: Bacterial small subunit ribosomal RNA
Source: RNAcentral